GUCCCGGUAGCUCAGCUGGAUAGAGCAACGGACUUCUAAUCCGUCGGUCGGGGGUUCGAAUCCCUCCCGGGACGCCA
RNAcentral lists this transfer RNA (77 nucleotides) under Bacillota bacterium. Its description in RNAcentral is "tRNA-Arg". It matches the Rfam family "tRNA". From Rfam's summary of the family: Transfer RNA (tRNA) molecules are approximately 80 nucleotides in length. Their secondary structure includes four short double-helical elements and three loops (D, anti-codon, and T loops). Further hydrogen bonds mediate the characteristic L-shaped molecular structure. tRNAs have two regions of fundamental functional importance: the anti-codon, which is responsible for specific mRNA codon recognition, and the 3' end, to which the tRNAs corresponding amino acid is attached (by aminoacyl-tRNA synthetases). tRNAs cope with the degeneracy of the genetic code in two manners: having more than one tRNA (with a specific anti-codon) for a particular amino acid; and 'wobble' base-pairing, i.e. permitting non-standard base-pairing at the 3rd anti-codon position. Lineage: Bacteria; Bacillati; Bacillota. The record is from RNAcentral.